This 508-nucleotide ribosomal RNA is filed under the name uncultured bacterium. RNAcentral describes it as "partial 16S ribosomal RNA". It matches the Rfam family "Bacterial small subunit ribosomal RNA", at positions 28 to 523 of the family's 1533-position model. The record is from RNAcentral.
GAUGAACGCUAGCUACAGGCUUAACACAUGCAAGUCGAGGGGAAACGAUAUUAGAAGCUUGCUUCCGAUAGGCGUCGACCGGCGCACGGGAGAGUAACGCGUAUCCAACCUGCCCACCACUUGGGGAUAACCUUGCGAAAGUAAGACUAAUACCCAAUGAUAUCUCUAGAAGACAUCUGAAGGAGAUUAAAGACUUAUCGGUGAUGGAUGGGGAUGCGUCUGAUUAGCUUGUUGGCGGGGUAACGGCCCACCAAGGCGACGAUCAGUAGGGGUUCUGAGAGGAAGGUCCCCCACAUUGGAACUGAGAUACGGUCCAAACUCCUACGGGAGGCAGCAGUGAGGAAUAUUGGUCAAUGGGCGAGAGCCUGAACCAGCCAAGUAGCGUGCAGGAUGACGGCCCUAUGGGUUGUAAACUGCUUUUAUAAGGGAAUAAAGUGAGCCUCGUGAGGCUUUUUGCAUGUACCUUAUGAAUAAGGACCGGCUAAUUCCGUGCCAGCCGCCGCGGUAA